AGAAUCAACGCUGGCGGCGUGCCUAACACAUGCAAGUCGAACGAGGAAAGGGUAGCAAUACCCUGAGUAAAGUGGCGCACGGGUGAGUAACACGUGACUAACCUACCCUUGAGUGGGGGAUAACUGAGGGAAACCUUAGCUAAUACCGCAUAAUACCCACGGGUCAAAGGAGCAAUUCGCUCGAGGAGGGGGUCGCGGCCGAUUAGUUAGUUGGCGGGGUAAUGGCCCACCAAGACGAUGAUCGGUAU
Molecule: ribosomal RNA, 248 nt
Filed under: uncultured bacterium
Lineage: Bacteria
Description: partial small subunit ribosomal RNA
Rfam family: Bacterial small subunit ribosomal RNA
Source: RNAcentral